RNAcentral lists this long non-coding RNA (880 nucleotides) under Homo sapiens (human). RNAcentral describes it as "HSALNT0387836". Lineage: Eukaryota; Metazoa; Chordata; Mammalia; Primates; Hominidae. The record is from RNAcentral.
ACUUCCGCGUCACCCCUCCUCAGCCCUCUGAACUCUGCGCUUGGACUUGGUGUGACUUCCCUUCCCCGCCUAUUCUCUAGAGGCAGUCUCUUGGUGACUCCUGGUUUGGGUCAGGGCACGCCUUAGGUCUCUGGAUGGCUACCAACCCCAGGUUCCCUCAGCUCUAGCCCCAUAAGAGAGGAGGCCUCAGGAGCGCCUAGGGCAGCCCUUUCAGCCUGGGCUGUGGGAAGGGAAGGUGGACAGAGAGGAGACCCCAUGCCUUUGUUCCCUGUUGAUGCAGAAGCAUUCUAGGCUCUGUCCCUUAUUCCUGCUGUGGGCUGAAGCUUCAGGCAAGGUGCUCUACAAACUUCAGUUGCCUCAUCUAUCAAACAGUAACGUUUAACAUUCCAGAGACAGAAGUUGAUCUUUGGGACUUUUUUUGAUUUUAAGAUCUAGGCUGGCUGGGGCGGUGGCUCAUGCCUGUAAUCCCAGCACUUUGAGAGGCCGAGACCGGUGGAUCACGAGAUCAUCAGGAGAUGAGACCAUCCUGGCUAACAUGUUAGCCUGGCCUCCAGAGCUCUUGGACUGCAGCACCCAUAAUGAUGGCCAAAGCCGCCCCCACGGCGACUCCUCCUGCUGAAGCAAAGUCAGGCAGAACAAUAAGAUGAGCAUGGUGGUGCAGGCCUGUAAUCUCAGCUCCUCAGGCGGGAGGAUCACUUGAUCCCCGGAAGUUUGAAGCUGGACUGCGCUGACCGCACCUGUGAAUACCACUGCCCGUCAAUCAGCCUAGGGGAAACAUUCUCGAGUGCGAGCAUGACGGCUUAGGUUGAUGUUUUUCAAAUUUUCCCAAUGAUGAGUAUUGUAAGGGACCAAAAUAAAAAAAUGCCAAUGCCUAGUCCCC